RNAcentral lists this ribosomal RNA (375 nucleotides) under uncultured bacterium. RNAcentral describes it as "bacterial SSU rRNA". It matches the Rfam family "Bacterial small subunit ribosomal RNA", at positions 523 to 897 of the family's 1533-position model. The record is from RNAcentral.
AUACGUAGGGGGCAAGCGUUAUCCGGAUUUAUUGGGUGUAAAGGGUGCGUAGGCGGGUGAUCAAGUUGAAUGUGAAAUCCACCGGCUCAACUGGUGGGCUGCGUUCAAAACUGAUCGUCUUGAGUAUGGUAGAGGCAAGUGGAAUUCCCAGUGUAGCGGUAAAAUGCGUAGAGAUUGGGAGGAACACCAGUGGCGAAGGCGACUUGCUGGGCCAAAACUGACGCUGAGGCACGAAAGUGUGGGGAGCAAACAGGAUUAGAUACCCUGGUAGUCCACACCGUAAACGAUGAUUACUAGGUGUAGGGGGACUGACCCCUUCUGUGCCGGAGUUAACACAAUAAGUAAUCCACCUGAGUAGUACGGCCGCAAGGUUGA